UACGGAGGGUGCAAGCGUUAAUCGGAAUUACUGGGCGUAAAGCGCACGUAGGUGGUUUACUAAGCCAGCUGUGAAAUCCCCGGGCUCAACCUGGGCACUGCAGUUGGAACUGGUAAGCUAGAGUAGGGUAGAGGGGUGUGGAAUUCCAGGUGUAGCGGUGAAAUGCGUAGAUAUCUGGAGGAAUACCGGUGGCGAAGGCGGCAUCCUGGACCGACAUUGACGCUGAACGGCGAAAGCUAGGGGAGCAAACGGG
This 253-nucleotide ribosomal RNA is filed under the name uncultured bacterium. RNAcentral describes it as "partial 16S ribosomal RNA". It matches the Rfam family "Bacterial small subunit ribosomal RNA", at positions 524 to 776 of the family's 1533-position model. The record is from RNAcentral.